CAGGACUUGACAUGGCCGAGACCGCGGUGGAAACACCGCCUCCCCGCAAGGGGCUCGGUCACAGGUGUUGCAUGGCUGUCGUCAGCUCGUGUCGUGAGAUGUUGGGUUAAGUCCCGCGACGAGCGCAACCCCUACUGUGUGUUGUAUCACUCACACGGGACUGCCGAGAGAAACUCGGGAGGAAGGUGGGGGAUGAAGUCAAGGUCAGCAUGGCCCUUACGUCCUGGGCUACACCCACGCUACAAUGGCCGAUACAACGGGCGGCGAAACCGCGAGGUGGAGCGAAUCCCUUAAAGUCGGUCUCAGUUCGGAUUGUAGGCUGCAACUCGCCUACAUGAAGCCGGAGUUGCUAGUAACCGCAGGUCAGCAUUACUGCGGUGAAUAUGUUCCC
This 391-nucleotide ribosomal RNA is filed under the name uncultured bacterium. RNAcentral describes it as "bacterial SSU rRNA". It matches the Rfam family "Bacterial small subunit ribosomal RNA", at positions 975 to 1375 of the family's 1533-position model. The record is from RNAcentral.